GAUGAACGCUGGCGGCGUGCCUAAUACAUGCCAGUCGAGCGAACGGACGAGAAGCUUGCUUCUCUGAUGUUAGCGGCGGACGGGUGAGUAACACGUGGAUAACCUACAUAUAAGACUGGGAUAACUUCGGGAAACCGGAGCUAAUACCGGAUAAUAUUUUGAACCGCAUGGUUCAAAAGUGAAAGACGGUCUUGCUGUCACUUAUAGAUGGAUCCGCGCUGCAUUAGCUAGUUGGUAAGGUAACGGCUUACCAAGGCAACGAUGCAUAGCCGACCUGAGAGGGUGAUCGGCCACACUGGAACUGAGACACGGUCCAGACUCCUACGGGAGGCAGCAGUAGGGAAUCUUCCGCAAUGGGCGAAAGCCUGACGGAGCAACGCCGCGUGAGUGAUGAAGGUCUUCGGAUCGUAAAACUCUGUUAUUAGGGAAGAACAUAUGUGUAAGUAACUGUGCACAUCUUGACGGUACCUAAUCAGAAAGCCACGGCUAACUACGUG
Molecule: ribosomal RNA, 497 nt
Filed under: uncultured bacterium
Lineage: Bacteria
Description: partial 16S ribosomal RNA
Rfam family: Bacterial small subunit ribosomal RNA
Source: RNAcentral